UACGUAGGUGGCAAUCGUUGUCCGGAAUUAUUGGGCGUAAAGGGUUCGUAGGCGGUUUUUUAAGUCUGAUGUGAAAGCCCACGGCUUAACCGUGGAAGGUCAUUGGAAACUGGAAGACUUGAGUACAGGAGAGGAAAGUGGAAUUCCUAGUGUAGCGGUGAAAUGCGUAGAUAUUAGGAGGAACACCAGUGGCGAAGGCGGCUUUCUGGCCUGUAACUGACGCUGAUGAACGAAAGCGUGGGGAGGAAACAGG
Molecule: ribosomal RNA, 253 nt
Filed under: uncultured bacterium
Lineage: Bacteria
Description: partial 16S ribosomal RNA
Rfam family: Bacterial small subunit ribosomal RNA
Source: RNAcentral